GCCCUUGUGGAUCAUGGGAGAUCACCUCAAAGCUUUUCCACUGGGACAGAGCUUGCUUGCAUGAGGAGGUGGAGGUUCGAAUCCUCCCGAGGGCA
This is a non-coding RNA of Mycena olivaceomarginata, 95 nucleotides long. NCBI's taxonomy places the organism in Eukaryota, Fungi, Basidiomycota, Agaricomycetes, Agaricales, Mycenaceae. The record is from the annotation of a GenBank genome assembly.